CCUACGGGAGACAGCAGUGGGGAAUAUUGCACAAUGGGGGAAACCCUGAUGCAGCGACGCCGCGUGAGUGAAGAAGUAUCUCGGUACGUAAAGCUCUAUCAGCAGGAAAGAAAAUGACGGUACCUGACUAAGAAGCCCCGGCUAACUACGUGCCAGCAGCCGCGGUAAUACGUAGGGGGCAAGCGUUAUCCGGAUUUACUGGGUGUAAGGGGAGCGUAGACGGCGCUGCAAGUCCGGAGUGAAAGCCCAUGGCUUAACCAUGGUACUGCUUUUGAAACUGCCGGGCUGGAGUGCAGGAGAGGUAAGCGGAAUUCCUAGUGUAGCGGUGAAAUGCGUAGAUAUUAGGAGGAACACCAGUGGCGAAGGCGGCUUACUGGACUGUAACUGACGUUGAGGCUCGAAGGCGUGGGGAGCAAACAGGAUUAGAUACCCUAGUAGUC
RNAcentral lists this ribosomal RNA (440 nucleotides) under uncultured bacterium. Its description in RNAcentral is "partial 16S ribosomal RNA". It matches the Rfam family "Bacterial small subunit ribosomal RNA", at positions 338 to 795 of the family's 1533-position model. The record is from RNAcentral.